UACGUAGGGUGCGAGCGUUGUCCGGAAUUAUUGGGCGUAAAGAGCUCGUAGGCGGUUUGUCGCGUCGGCCGUGAAAACUUGGGGCUUAACCCCAAGCCUGCGGUCGAUACGGGCAGACUUGAGUUCGGCAGGGGAGACUGGAAUUCCUGGUGUAGCGGUGAAAUGCGCAGAUAUCAGGAGGAACACCGGUGGCGAAGGCGGCUUUCUGGGUCUUACCUGACGCUGAGGAACGAAAGCUAGGGGAGCGAACGGG
Molecule: ribosomal RNA, 253 nt
Filed under: uncultured bacterium
Lineage: Bacteria
Description: partial 16S ribosomal RNA
Rfam family: Bacterial small subunit ribosomal RNA
Source: RNAcentral